This 76-nucleotide transfer RNA is filed under the name Patescibacteria group bacterium. RNAcentral describes it as "tRNA-Lys". It matches the Rfam family "tRNA". Rfam says of the family: Transfer RNA (tRNA) molecules are approximately 80 nucleotides in length. Their secondary structure includes four short double-helical elements and three loops (D, anti-codon, and T loops). Further hydrogen bonds mediate the characteristic L-shaped molecular structure. tRNAs have two regions of fundamental functional importance: the anti-codon, which is responsible for specific mRNA codon recognition, and the 3' end, to which the tRNAs corresponding amino acid is attached (by aminoacyl-tRNA synthetases). tRNAs cope with the degeneracy of the genetic code in two manners: having more than one tRNA (with a specific anti-codon) for a particular amino acid; and 'wobble' base-pairing, i.e. permitting non-standard base-pairing at the 3rd anti-codon position. The record is from RNAcentral. RNAcentral also lists the same sequence under 1 other name.
GGGUCGUUAGCUCAGUUGGUAGAGCAGUUGCCUCUUAAGCAAACGGUCGCUGGUUCGAAUCCAGCACGACCCACCA